CCUGGUGGCUCAGACAGUAAAAGCAUCUGCCUGCAAUGCAGGAGACCCAGGUUGGAUCCCUGGGUCAGGA
Molecule: transfer RNA, 70 nt
Filed under: Ovis aries (sheep)
Lineage: Eukaryota; Metazoa; Chordata; Mammalia; Artiodactyla; Bovidae
Rfam family: tRNA
About the family: Transfer RNA (tRNA) molecules are approximately 80 nucleotides in length. Their secondary structure includes four short double-helical elements and three loops (D, anti-codon, and T loops).
Source: Rfam by way of RNAcentral